Alnus glutinosa is the source of this 414-nucleotide long non-coding RNA. RefSeq lists it as uncharacterized. The transcript is spliced from 3 exons. NCBI's taxonomy places the organism in Eukaryota, Viridiplantae, Streptophyta, Magnoliopsida, Fagales, Betulaceae. The record is from RefSeq and is a predicted model, not a curated record.
UUAGCUCUUUCUUUCUUUUUUUCUUUUUUCUUUUUUUCUAUAUAUUUUGAUUAGAGAUCAAUAAAAGACACAGACGAUUAGAGAUUAAUAAAAGACACACAGGCGAGUGAUUUUCUAUACUUUUUGCCUCAAUUUCUUAAUAAGGGGAGAAGCAGAAAGCUCUUGAAAUAUUUGGUGCAAGGCAAAGCAAGAUAAGAGCAAGAUAAUAUUUAUUUUACAGGCAGUUUUUGAUCAUCCUCUUUUUACAAGCUUAUUUUAUUGCAGUCAGGGAGGCUCUUAAUGGAGUUUAUUUGUUCCAACAGGGACAUACAAUUCCAGGGAUACCGAGUGCAGGGGACUCCGUCCAUAUAUCUUGAUGUUAUAAAAAGGUCAGAGCCAUUUUUGGUGGUCGCAAAACUUUGAUUCCUCUAUUAC